GAUGAACGCUGGCGGCGUGCCUAAUACAUGCAAGUCGAGCGAACGGACGAGAAGCUUGCUUCUCUGAUGUUAGCGGCGGACGGGUGAGUAACACGUGGAUAACCUACCUAUCAGACUGGGAUCACUUCGGGAAACCGUAGCUAAUACCGGAUAAUCUUUUGAACCGCAUGGUUCAAAAGUGAAAGACGGUCUUGCUGUCACUUAUAGAUGGAUCCGCGCUGCAUUAGCUAGUUGGUAAGGUAACGGCUUACCAAGGCAACGAUGCAUAGCCGACCUGAGAGGGUGAUCGGCCGCACGAGAACGGAGACGCGGUCCAGGCUCCUACGGGAGGCAGCAGUAGGGAAUCUUCCGCAAUGGGCGAAAGCCUGACGGAGCAACGCCGCGUGAGUGAUGAAGGUCUUCGGAUCGUAAAACUCUGUUAUGAGGGAAGAACAGAUGUGUAAGUAACUGUGCACAGCUUGACGGUACCUAAUCAGAAAGCCACGGCUAACUACGCG
Molecule: ribosomal RNA, 497 nt
Filed under: uncultured bacterium
Lineage: Bacteria
Description: partial 16S ribosomal RNA
Rfam family: Bacterial small subunit ribosomal RNA
Source: RNAcentral